UGGGAAUAUGGACAAUGGCGCAAGCCUGAUCCAGCCAUGCCGCGUGAACGAUGAAGGCCUUAGGGUUGUAAAGUUCUUUUGUCAGGGAAGAUAAUGACGGUACCUGAAGAAUAAGCACCGGCUAACUUCGUGCCAGCAGCCGCGGUAAUACGAAGGGUGCUAGCGUUGUUCGGAAUCACUGGGCGUAAAGCGCGCGUAGGCGGCUUAACAAGUCAGAGGUGAAAGCCUGGAGCUCAACUCCAGAACUGCCUUUGAAACUGUUAAGCUUGAGUGUCGGAGGGGAUAGCGGAAUUUCUAAUGUAGAGGUGAAAUUCGUAGAUAUUAGAAGGAACACCGGUGGCGAAGGCGGCUAUCUGGACGACAACUGACGCUGAGGCGCGAAAGCGUGGGGAUCAAACAGGAUUAGAUACCCAUGUAGUCCCUGAGCGGGCUGGCAAGGCGCAU
Molecule: ribosomal RNA, 444 nt
Filed under: uncultured bacterium
Lineage: Bacteria
Description: bacterial SSU rRNA
Rfam family: Bacterial small subunit ribosomal RNA
Source: RNAcentral